CAUGCAAGUCGAGCGGUAACAUUUCUAGCUUGCUAGUAGAUGACGAGCGGCGGACGGGUGAGUAAUGCUUGGGAACAUGCCUUGAGGUGGGGGACAACAGUUGGAAACGACUGCUAAUACCGCAUAAUGUCUACGGACCAAAGGGGGCUUCGGCUCUCGCCUUUAGAUUGGCCCAAGUGGGAUUAGCUAGUUGGUGAGGUAAUGGCUCACCAAGGCGACGAUCCCUAGCUGGUUUGAGAGGAUGAUCAGCCACACUGGGACUGAGACACGGCCCAGACUCCUACGGGAGGCAGCAGUGGGGAAUAUUGCACAAUGGGCGCAAGCCUGAUGCAGCCAUGCCGCGUGUGUGAAGAAGGCCUUCGGGUUGUAAAGCACUUUCAGUCAGGAGGAAAGGUUAGUAGUUAAUACCUGCUAGCUGUGACGUUACUGACAGAAGAAGCACCGGCUAACUCCGUGCCAGCAGCCGCGGUAAUACGGAGGGUGCGAGCGUUAAUCGGAAUUACUGGGCGUAAAGCGUACGCAGGCGGUUUGUUAAGCGAGAUGUGAAAGCCCCGGGCUCAACCUGGGAACUGCAUUUCGAACUGGCAAACUAGAGUGUGAUAGAGGGUGGUAGAAUUUCAGGUGUAGCGGUGAAAUGCGUAGAGAUCUGAAGGAAUACCGAUGGCGAAGGCAGCCACCUGGGUCAACACUGACGCUCAUGUACGAAAGCGUGGGGAGCAAACAGGACUAGAUACCCUGGUAGUCCACGCCGUAAACGAUGUCUACUAGAAGCUCGGAACCUCGGUUCUGUUUUUCAAAGCUAACGCAUUAAGUAGACCGCCUGGGGAGUACGGCCGCAAGGUUAAAACUCAAAUGAAUUGACGGGGGCCCGCACAAGCGGUGGAGCAUGUGGUUUAAUUCGAUGCAACGCGAAGAACCUUACCUACACUUGACAUACAGAGAACUUACUAGAGAUAGUUUGGUGCCUUCGGGAACUCUGAUACAGGUGCUGCAUGGCUGUCGUCAGCUCGUGUUUGUGAGAUGUUUGGGUUAAGUCCCGCACCGAGCGCAACCCUAUCCCUAAUUUGCUAGCAGGUAUAGCUGAGAACUCUAAGAGACUCGCCGGGGAUAAACCGAAGAAAACGGGCCCACCCCCAGCCUCUUGGGCGCUCUAUAGUG
This 1158-nucleotide ribosomal RNA is filed under the name uncultured Pseudoalteromonas sp. Its description in RNAcentral is "bacterial SSU rRNA". It matches the Rfam family "Bacterial small subunit ribosomal RNA", at positions 54 to 1208 of the family's 1533-position model. Lineage: Bacteria; Pseudomonadati; Pseudomonadota; Gammaproteobacteria; Alteromonadales; Pseudoalteromonadaceae. The record is from RNAcentral.